This 253-nucleotide ribosomal RNA is filed under the name uncultured bacterium. RNAcentral describes it as "partial 16S ribosomal RNA". It matches the Rfam family "Bacterial small subunit ribosomal RNA", at positions 524 to 776 of the family's 1533-position model. The record is from RNAcentral.
UACGUAGGGUGCGAGCGUUGUCCGGAAUUACUGGGCGUAAAGAGCUCGUAGGUGGUUUGUCGCGUUGUUCGUGAAAACCGGGGGCUUAACCCUCGGCGUGCGGGCGAUACGGGCAGACUUGAGUACUGCAGGGGAGACUGGAAUUCCCGGUGUAGCGGUGAAAUGCGCAGAUAUCAGGAGGAACACCGGUGGCGAAGGCGGGUCUCUGGGCCGAUACUGACGCUGAGGAGCGAAAGCGUGGGGAGCGAACAGG